RNAcentral lists this ribosomal RNA (397 nucleotides) under uncultured bacterium. Its description in RNAcentral is "partial 16S ribosomal RNA". It matches the Rfam family "Bacterial small subunit ribosomal RNA", at positions 523 to 918 of the family's 1533-position model. The record is from RNAcentral.
AUACGUAGGGGGCGAGCGUUGUCCGGAAUGAUUGGGCGUAAAGGGCGCGCAGGCGGCCCGGUAAGUCUGGAGUGAAAGUCCUGUUUUUAAGAUGGGAAUUGCUUUGGAUACUGUUGGGCUUGAGUGCAGGAGAGGUAAGUGGAAUUCCCAGUGUAGCGGUGAAAUGCGUAGAGAUUGGGAGGAACACCAGUGGCGAAGGCGACUUACUGGACUGUAACUGACGCUGAGGCGCGAAAGUGUGGGGAGCAAACAGGAUUAGAUACCCUGGUAGUCCACACUGUAAACGAUGAAUGCUAGGUGUAGGGGGUAUCGACCCCUUCUGUGCCGCAGUCAACACAAUAAGCAUUCCGCCUGGGGAGUACGGCCGCAAGGUUGAAACUCAAAUGAAUUGGCGGGG